GCCAAAUGAUGUUUCCAUUUGGAGAAGUGAGCGCUUUGCGCCAUGAUGACCUUUAUCUAUCACCCUGGACUGAUGGCU
This is a small nucleolar RNA of Talpa occidentalis (Iberian mole), 78 nucleotides long. RefSeq annotates it as small nucleolar RNA SNORD83. The transcript has a single exon. NCBI's taxonomy places the organism in Eukaryota, Metazoa, Chordata, Mammalia, Eulipotyphla, Talpidae. The record is from RefSeq and is a predicted model, not a curated record.